AUUGAACGCUGGCGGCAGGCUUAACACAUGCAAGUCGAGCGGGGUGAUGGUGCUUGCACUAUCACUUAGCGGCGGACGGGUGAGUAAUGCUUAGGAAUCUGCCUAUUAGUGGGGGACAACAUCUCGAAAGGGAUGCUAAUACCGCAUACGUCCUACGGGAGAAAGCAGGGGAUCACUUGUGACCUUGCGCUAAUAGAUGAGCCUAAGUCGGAUUAGCUAGUUGGUGGGGUAAAGGCCUACCAAGGCGACGAUCUGUAGCGGGUCUGAGAGGAUGAUCCGCCACUCUGGGGCUGAGACACGGCCCAGACUCCUACGGGAGGCAGCAGUGGGGAAUAUUGGACAAUGGGGGGAACCCUGAUCCAGCCAUGCCGCGUGUGUGAAGAAGGCCUUAUGGUUGUAAAGCACUUUAAGCGAGGAGGAGGCUCUUUUGGUUAAUACCCAAGAUGAGUGGACGUUACUCGCAGAAUAAGCACCGGCUAACUCUGUGCCAGCCGCCGCUGUAA
RNAcentral lists this ribosomal RNA (503 nucleotides) under uncultured bacterium. RNAcentral's name for it is "partial 16S ribosomal RNA". It matches the Rfam family "Bacterial small subunit ribosomal RNA", at positions 30 to 523 of the family's 1533-position model. The record is from RNAcentral.